AAGUCGUAACAAGGUUUCCGUAGGUGAACCUGCGGAAGGAUCAUUAACACGUAUCCAACGUUAACCCCCCUGUGAACCUUCAGUGUGCUCGUAACCGAGCAACUGUUAACAAUGGAUAUCUUGGUUCUC
RNAcentral lists this unclassified non-coding RNA (129 nucleotides) under fungal sp. RNAcentral describes it as "partial internal transcribed spacer region". The stretch from base 1 to 46 matches the Rfam family "Eukaryotic small subunit ribosomal RNA", at positions 1786 to 1831 of the family's 1831-position model. The record is from RNAcentral. Lineage: Eukaryota; Fungi.